GUUGAACGCUAGCGGGAUGCUUUACACAUGCAAGUCGAACGAGUGGCGGACGGGUGAGUAAUAUAUCGGAACGUGCCCAGUAGAGGGGGAUAACUACUAGAAAGAGUGGCUAAUACCGCAUACGAUUGGAGCGGCCGAUAUCGGAUUAGCUAGUGGGUGGGGUAAAGGUUCACCAAGGCAACGAUCCGUAGCAGGUUUGAGAGGACGACCAGCCACACUGGGACUGAGACACGGCCCAGACUCCUACGGGAGGCAGCAGUGGGGAAUUUUGGACAAUGGGGGAAACCCUGAUCCAGCCAUCCCGCGUGUAUGAGAAGGCCUUCGGGUUGUAAAGUACUUUUGGCAGAGAAGCGGUAUCUGCAGAAUAAGCACCGGCUAACUACGUGCCAGCAGCCGCGGUAAUAC
This 405-nucleotide ribosomal RNA is filed under the name uncultured bacterium. Its description in RNAcentral is "partial 16S ribosomal RNA". It matches the Rfam family "Bacterial small subunit ribosomal RNA", at positions 28 to 526 of the family's 1533-position model. The record is from RNAcentral.